AGCGAACGCUGGCGGCAGGCUUAACACAUGCAAGUCGAGCGGGCCCUUCGGGGUCAGCGGCGGACGGGUGAGUAACGCGUGGGAACGUGCCUUCUGGUCUGGAAUAACCCUGGGAAACUAGGGCUAAUACCGGAUACGCCCUUUUGGGGAAAGGUUUACUGCCGGAAGAUCGGCCCGCGUCUGAUUAGCUAGUUGGUGGGGUAACGGCCUACCAAGGCGGCGAUCAGUAGCCGGUCUGAGAGGAUGAUCAGCCACACUGGGACUGAGACACGGCCCAGACUCCUACGGGAGGCAGCAGUGGGGAAUAUUGGACAAUGGGCGCAAGCCUGAUCCAGCCAUGCCGCGUGAGUGAUGAAGGCCUUAGGGUUGUAAAGCUCUUUUAUCCGGGACGAUAAUGACGGUACCGGAGGAAUAAGCCCCGGCUAACUUCGUG
This 433-nucleotide ribosomal RNA is filed under the name uncultured bacterium. RNAcentral's name for it is "partial 16S ribosomal RNA". It matches the Rfam family "Bacterial small subunit ribosomal RNA", at positions 29 to 507 of the family's 1533-position model. The record is from RNAcentral.